CUAAACCCCAUCGGAAAACAUCCAUACCUGGACUCACUGCGGCAGGGAUGGGAACAGCAGUACCUGAACCCAGAUUCUUCUGCGCUUCACAAAGUUAUGCACCCUGUUCUGCAUUUCUCUGAGUUCAGAAAGGUGGCAACUUUUAUGCCUCUCUGUGUCCUGUAAAGUAAUUAAAGGGCAGCCAGUUACCAUGUUUGCAGCCUUAGAAACAGUAUUCAGG
This is a long non-coding RNA of Grus americana (Whooping crane), 220 nucleotides long. RefSeq lists it as uncharacterized. NCBI's taxonomy places the organism in Eukaryota, Metazoa, Chordata, Aves, Gruiformes, Gruidae. The record is from RefSeq and is a predicted model, not a curated record. The transcript is spliced from 3 exons.